UCCAGAGUUACAGCUGAUUCAUGGAGAC
RNAcentral lists this non-coding RNA (28 nucleotides) under Homo sapiens (human). The record is from RNAcentral. Lineage: Eukaryota; Metazoa; Chordata; Mammalia; Primates; Hominidae.